UGCCAGACAGUGGGGGACUUUGAGUUGCAGAUUAUUGCAGACUAAGCAGUCUGGCUCUGCAGCAGCAGCACAAACCGAGGCGCUGGGAAGCCGGCCAGCCAGCCUCAGAAUUAGCUCAUUAAUACACCGGCACUGAGGAGAGGCGGGCUGCUGAGCCCUCUCCUCAGUGCUUCACCGCUUCUUCCUAGAAGUCCCAGCAUGCAGCCCGUGCGGCCACCUCGCUGCUAACUAUGUAGAAGUGAGGACUGAGCUGAGCCGUCUGCCUAUUGUUCUUCUUGUGGUAAUGGCCACGAUGCCACCUCCACACCGCUGCCAGGUUGUCAGCGUGAUAUACCAUCCGCAUUUAGCAAUCUGUGGCACUGGUGACCCAUGUGAAACCAUACUGAUAGAUGGAAGAUUUCCCAAUGGGAUCCUCCAUCUACCCAGAAUGGUCAACCACAAGGAGAACAAUGAGGCAGACGGACUCCUGGCUCCAGAAAAUGGUUGCAGACAUCACGUCACUGAAAUUAAUUACCUCUUCCUUUUUUAAUUGUAUCUCUUCCAUGUGUAGUGCAUUUGGUUUUUGAUUGUUGACACACCCAUGAUGUCAUAUAUUGGGAACUGUGUAUAUCAUCAAGUGUAAGCAUAUAUGGGACUCUGAGCCUUGCUUUAGAGAAUUACCACGGACAAAGUUGUACCAUAACUCAAUUUUUUACAGUCUAGGUCGGGUGAAGCUCUUCACACUGUGAAUCCAUGUUUACACCCAUUACAGGUGGGCCUUGUGGCCUGUUUCUACCACAGCAAUGUCUUCCUCUUCUCAAGCUCCUCUGUUCACAAUAAGCCGUUAACUUACAGCCUUCACUUUCAGUACCAGUUUGAUGCUUUUUUUGCGCCUGUUGAUUACUCGCAGUCGUGGCAGCCAUUUAGCGAGCUGAAGUAAUAUUAGUAACCUAUGAAUUUACUAAGAACUAUGUAAUGUACAUGUUGUCAGGUACUCGAUACCUCCAUGUUAGUCUGUAGUAAAGUGAUAGGCCGUAUUCUCAUGAAAACUAGUUGAGCUCAAGAAAUGUCUGCCACCAGUGUGUGUAAGUGACGGAUGCAGUUUGACACUUAACUAUCCUCUUUGAGGCUAAGAGUCCCCUUAUAUCAUGUAUUCCUUUCACCUAGAUGUAGCAUACUCGCUUCCUUUCUUUUCAUCCAUUGUCUGUAUAUCUCUAUUUUAUCCAUGUACACUUUUAAUGUAUAGAAAUAGUUGUUUGAAACACAUUGUUUCCUUGUGGUAAGUGACAGAGAAGCUGCCACAGGAUCUGAGACACUGAUGAAUGGUGCUAUUUUGGACUUUUAAACAUGCUCCUUGGUAAGGUAGCUCUGAUGGGAGUUUUUAUUUUCAUGUUCUAAGAAGGUGUUGGUAUUUUUUCCUGAUUGUUGUUCUAUAGGCGGAACUGACUCUUUCUUGUCUUCAGUGUAGUUUUAAUAGGGCAAAUAACUGCUAAGCGGGCGAGUCAGGCAAGUAAUUUUUUUCUCUACUUUUUCUUUUUUUUUUUUUUUUUACAAUUCAGGGUAGAUUCACCAACAUACAGCUAUUCUAGUGGGAGCAAUCACAAAACUGUAAUUUACUAAUCUCGAUAAUCCAAACCCCCUGUCCCUACAUUUGAAAAAAAUA
Long non-coding RNA from Bufo bufo (common toad), 1642 nucleotides. RefSeq lists it as uncharacterized. NCBI's taxonomy places the organism in Eukaryota, Metazoa, Chordata, Amphibia, Anura, Bufonidae. The record is from RefSeq and is a predicted model, not a curated record. The transcript is spliced from 4 exons.